ACCACCAAAAGCUGACCCAUCCUCGCCCGAAGUGGAGAGCUGAUUGCAAUGGAACUUUCUAGGGCCAGGGAAAUAUUCUAUAACUGGAUUAUGGUGUGAUUACACUGAGCUUCUGGGGUUUGCUGGCAACCUUUGGUGUUUCUUAGCCUGCAGAAGCAUCACCCUAACUUCUGCUCCCAGCAUCAUAUGGCUGUCUUCUCCCUGUGUGUCUCUGUGUCUUCACAUGCCAUCUCUCUUAAAAGGACACCAGAUACAUUGGGUUAAGGGCCCGUCUGACUCCAGGGUGACUUCAUCUUGAGUAAUUACAUCUGCAGCAACCCUAUUUCCAAAUAAGGGAAACACUCCACCUCUCCUGGGAGCACUUUGUCAGUCUUUGAAAUCUGGAUUACUUGGCAACCUUGCAAAGAUAGCUGUCAGCUUGACAAUAAGCUCAAGAGAAGUUAUGAUUCUGCAGAUUAUCCAAGUUCUUCUUAUUACUAAGGUCAGCGGCAGAACUCAAAGUACAACAGGGACAGCGGAGAGUCUCGGAUCCAUCCGGUGUCUUGGUACAUGCGUUUCCC
Molecule: long non-coding RNA, 560 nt
Filed under: Homo sapiens (human)
Lineage: Eukaryota; Metazoa; Chordata; Mammalia; Primates; Hominidae
Description: HSALNT0338428
Source: RNAcentral